CGGGGCGUGGCGCAGCCUGGUAGCGCAUCUGCUUUGGGAGCAGAGGGUCGCAGGUUCGAAUCCUGCCGCCCCGA
RNAcentral lists this transfer RNA (74 nucleotides) under Amphiplicatus metriothermophilus. It matches the Rfam family "tRNA". Rfam says of the family: Transfer RNA (tRNA) molecules are approximately 80 nucleotides in length. Their secondary structure includes four short double-helical elements and three loops (D, anti-codon, and T loops). Further hydrogen bonds mediate the characteristic L-shaped molecular structure. tRNAs have two regions of fundamental functional importance: the anti-codon, which is responsible for specific mRNA codon recognition, and the 3' end, to which the tRNAs corresponding amino acid is attached (by aminoacyl-tRNA synthetases). tRNAs cope with the degeneracy of the genetic code in two manners: having more than one tRNA (with a specific anti-codon) for a particular amino acid; and 'wobble' base-pairing, i.e. permitting non-standard base-pairing at the 3rd anti-codon position. The record is from Rfam by way of RNAcentral. Lineage: Bacteria; Pseudomonadati; Pseudomonadota; Alphaproteobacteria; Parvularculales; Parvularculaceae.